Molecule: ribosomal RNA, 378 nt
Filed under: uncultured organism
Description: partial 16S ribosomal RNA
Rfam family: Bacterial small subunit ribosomal RNA
Source: RNAcentral
GUAGGGGGGCGAGCGUUGUCCGGGAUUUAUUGGGGCGUAAAGAGCUCGUAGGCGGUUGCGUAAGUCGGGAUGUGAAAACUCAGGGGCUCAACCCUGAGAUGCCAUUCGAUACUGCGCUGACUCGAGUCCGGUAGGGGAGCAUGGAAUUCCUGGUGUAGCGGUGAAAUGCGCAGAUAUCAGGAGGAACACCAGUGGCGAAGGCGGUGCUCUGGGCCGGUACUGACGCUGAGGAGCGAAAGCAUGGGUAGCAAACAGGAUUAGAUACCCUGGUAGUCCAUGCCGUAAACGUUGGGCACUAGGUGUGGGGCCUACUUAACGGGUUCCGUGCCGUAGCUAACGCAUUAAGUGCCCCGCCUGGGGAGUACGGCCGCAAGGCUA